ACGAGUUAGGGGCCUCUGGCCCGAACCUCCAACCCUUUGUAUCAAAACCUCGUUGCCUCGGGGAGGCCCUGCCUCACGGCUGGCCCCCCGAUGGACCACUAAACUCUGCAUCUGUAUGACGUCUGAGUAAAGAUUUUAAAUUAAAUCA
RNAcentral lists this unclassified non-coding RNA (148 nucleotides) under soil metagenome. Its description in RNAcentral is "partial internal transcribed spacer 1". The record is from RNAcentral.